This 73-nucleotide transfer RNA is filed under the name Felis catus (domestic cat). It matches the Rfam family "tRNA". Rfam says of the family: Transfer RNA (tRNA) molecules are approximately 80 nucleotides in length. Their secondary structure includes four short double-helical elements and three loops (D, anti-codon, and T loops). RNAcentral also lists the same sequence under 3 other names. Lineage: Eukaryota; Metazoa; Chordata; Mammalia; Carnivora; Felidae. The record is from Rfam by way of RNAcentral.
GCCUCACUCGCUCAGUUGGUAGAGCAUGUGACUCUUGAUCUCAGGGUCAUGGGUUUGAGCCCCAUGUUGGGCA